This 433-nucleotide ribosomal RNA is filed under the name uncultured bacterium. RNAcentral describes it as "partial 16S ribosomal RNA". It matches the Rfam family "Bacterial small subunit ribosomal RNA", at positions 29 to 507 of the family's 1533-position model. The record is from RNAcentral.
AACGAACGCUGGCGGCAUGCCUAACACAUGCAAGUCGAACGAGACCUUCGGGUCUAGUGGCGCACGGGUGCGUAACGCGUGGGAACCUGCCCUUAGGUUCGGAAUAACUCCCCGAAAGGGGUGCUAAUACCGGAUAAUGUCUUCGGACCAAAGAUUUAUCGCCUUUGGAUGGGCCGGCGUUGGAUUAGCUAGUUGGUAGGGUAAAAGCCUACCAAGGCGACGAUCCAUAGCUGGUCUGAGAGGAUGAUCAGCCACACUGGGACUGAGACACGGCCCAGACUCCUACGGGAGGCAGCAGUGGGGAAUAUUGGACAAUGGGCGAAAGCCUGAACCAGCAAUGCCGCGUGAGUGAUGAAGGCCUUAGGGUUGUAAAGCUCUUUUACCCGGGAUGAUAAUGACAGUACCGGGAGAAUAAGCUCCGGCUAACUCCGUG